Molecule: ribosomal RNA, 350 nt
Filed under: uncultured Fictibacillus sp.
Lineage: Bacteria; Bacillati; Bacillota; Bacilli; Caryophanales; Fictibacillaceae
Description: bacterial SSU rRNA
Rfam family: Bacterial small subunit ribosomal RNA
Source: RNAcentral
GUAGUCCACGCCGUAAACGAUGAGUGCUAGGUGUUGGGGGGUUCCACCCUCAGUGCUGACGUUAACACAUUAAGCACUCCGCCUGGGGAGUACGACCGCAAGGUUGAAACUCAAAGGAAUUGACGGGGGCCCGCACAAGCAGUGGAGCAUGUGGUUUAAUUCGAAGCAACGCGAAGAACCUUACCAGGUCUUGACAUCCUUCGCUACUUCCAGAGAUGGAAGGUUCCCCUUCGGGGGACGAAGUGACAGGUGGUGCAUGGUUGUCGUCAGCUCGUGUCGUGAGAUGUUGGGUUAAGUCCCGCAACGAGCGCAACCCUUGAUCUUAGUUGCCAGCAUUCAGUUGGGCACUC